GAUGAACGCUGGCGGCGUGCCUAAUACAUGCAAGUCGAGCGAACAGACGAGGAGCUUGCUCCUCUGACGUUAGCGGCGGACGGGUGAGUAACACGUGGAUAACCUACCUAUAAGACUGGGAUAACUUCGGGAAACCGGAGCUAAUACCGGUUAAUAUGUUGAAUCGCAUGGUUCAACAGUGAAAGACGGUCUUGCUGUCACUUAUAGAUGGAUCCGCGCCGCAUUAGCUAGUUGGUAAGGUAACGGCUUACCAAGGCAACGAUGCGUAGCCGACCUGAGAGGGUGAUCGGCCACACUGGAACUGAGACACGGUCCAGACUCCUACGGGAGGCAGCAGUAGGGAAUCUUCCGCAAUGGGCGAAAGCCUGACGGAGCAACGCCGCGUGAGUGAAGAAGGUCUUCGGAUCGUAAAACUCUGUUAUUAGGGAAGAACAAAUGUGUAAGUAACUAUGCACGUCUUGACGGUACCUAAUCAGAAAGCCACGGCUAACUACGUG
Molecule: ribosomal RNA, 497 nt
Filed under: uncultured bacterium
Lineage: Bacteria
Description: partial 16S ribosomal RNA
Rfam family: Bacterial small subunit ribosomal RNA
Source: RNAcentral